Long non-coding RNA from Labeo rohita (rohu), 1895 nucleotides. RefSeq lists it as uncharacterized. The transcript has 3 exons. NCBI's taxonomy places the organism in Eukaryota, Metazoa, Chordata, Actinopteri, Cypriniformes, Cyprinidae. The record is from RefSeq and is a predicted model, not a curated record.
CCGUUAGGGAUUAUGUGCCGUUUCCUCGCCCAGAAGCUUUCGGCUUGUCCCCUCCCACUCUUGAAAAAGCAGCGACUCCACAAACUAGAAAACGGUGCAAACUAAAUACCUGCCUCUCUGACCACCAGCCUCAGCCUUUCAGCCCCGCUUGUCUGCGCUUGUGCGAUCGCUGGGAGGAGGCAGCCGCGUUCCGUCCGCUUUUGUGUGGUUGUACAGAAGUGCUGCGGUUGGGAGGAGGAGGAGGAGGUGGAGGGGAACAGCUGCUCCCCACACAGAAGCCGGUUUCCCAGCCUGACAGGCAGUGAGAGGCAGCCAGUGCCGGGGCUGUUUUCCCGGGGGCCCUCGGGUUGCUUCGCCAGCCUCCGCAGCUCCGGUCUAGGAGGGAGAUUUUUAUGGCAGCGGCGAAAUGCGAAAUGGACCAGAUCAAGUCGGAUUCUUUCCUUCACGAGGCCAAGCGCUCGUGUUCUCUCACAAAAAUCAAGAGCAGAUAUGGAUACAUCUCCACUGAAACUCGACCAGGUUUCUCUCAGCCGAUGGGACUCCAGCGGAACCCGCGGCUGCUCUGAGCGCCUUCUUCCAGUCGGAGCUUUUAACCCGUCGGAUGGCGGUUAGCGGUGGCCGCAGGUGCUCCCGUUACCUGCACGAAAAGCCACGUGAGCACUCCAGCAAUCCUCAAACACUCACACACACACAUACACGCACAAUACCCAGACAUCUUUUUGUUCUUCAACACACAGUGAGCUCUGGCAGAGAUAUAAACCUGUCUGUAUCCUAAAAUGAACUGUCUCUCUUUGUCUCUCUCUCACCAACAAAAAUAUAGUUCCUGUUGUAAAUGAUUGUCCAAAAUAAUACCUCAGAUUUAUUUGAUGUUAUUUUGAAUGAAUUGGUGUAAUGUUAUGAUUGAUAUGAUGUUAUUUUCUGUUUUUAAAAAAUCAAAACUAGAUGAAUGUACUUGCAGUCUUGUACUUAAAUGUACUUAAAAAAAGGUACAGAAGUUGUCACUGGAUCGAACUUAAAGUUAUCUCGAAUUAAGUUACUGGCAAGUGUUUAGCUAUAUAUAUAUAUAUGUGUGUGUGUGUUGUAUUAUGUUAUGUAUUUAAUAUUUUUACAUUUUUAUGACAUUGUUGGAAUUUUUUUUUUUAUUUUGUUUUAUAUAUAUAUACAUCUAUAUCUAUCUAUCUGUCUAUCUAUAAAUAUAUAUAUAUAGAAUUACUAUUUUGUAUUGUGUUUGUGUGUAUAUAAUUGUUAUAUAUUGCCUAAUUGUUGGCAAUUUUUAAUAUAAUUUAGUUUUUUACAUAUAUAUAUAUAUAUAUAUAUAUAUAUAUAUAUAUUAUACAUAUAUUAAUUAUAUAUGUAUAAAACUAAAUUAUAUUAAAAAUACAAAUGGAGAAAUAUUAAAUACAUAAAAUAAUAUAUAUAUAUAUAUAUAUAUAUAUAUAUAUAUAUGAACUAUGAACUGCAGUUGGGUUAUUUUAAUAUAAAGUAAAAAUAACAAAAAAAUACAGCUAACACAAUUAAAUAUAAUUAAAUAUAUAUAACACAUAUAUUAAUUACAAAUAAAUAUUUGUUCUCUUUUUGUCAGUCUCUAACCCUUAAUGUUUUCCCACAGUGUGUAACUGCAGAAAUGAAGCUGUGUGUGUGUGUAAGUUUGCAGUAGCAGUUUCAGCAGGUGAGUCUGACACACAGACACACUCCCGCAUUAAAGGAGGCGGAGAAGAAAGACAGAUCCUUUGACCUUCUGUUUUCACAUAGUGAAAGUCACUGUCCAGUCACACACAUUCAGACCACAAAUGCCGUUAGUCUGUUUAUCUCUUGCAUAUUUGUAUUUUUAAAUGCUGUAAAUGUUUGAGACUUUCUAAUAAAUUGUUUACAUUACUGUAUCAAUUCUCAUCUUA